This 434-nucleotide ribosomal RNA is filed under the name uncultured bacterium. RNAcentral's name for it is "partial 16S ribosomal RNA". It matches the Rfam family "Bacterial small subunit ribosomal RNA", at positions 29 to 507 of the family's 1533-position model. The record is from RNAcentral.
AGCGAACGCUGGCGGCAGGCCUAACACAUGCAAGUCGAACGAACCUUUCGGGGUUAGUGGCGGACGGGUGAGUAACACGUAGGAACGUGCCUUUAGGUUCGGAAUAACUCAGGGAAACUUGUGCUAAUACCGAAUGUGCCCUUCGGGGGAAAGAUUUAUCGCCUUUAGAGCGGCCCGCGUCUGAUUAGCUAGUUGGUUGAGGUAAUGGCUCACCAAGGCGACGAUCAGUAGCUGGUCUGAGAGGAUGAUCAGCCACAUUGGGACUGAGACACGGCCCAAACUCCUACGGGAAGCAGCAGUGGGGAAUCUUGCGCAAUGGGCGAAAGCCUGACGCAGCCAUGCCGCGUGAAUGAUGAAGGUCUUAGGAUUGUAAAAUUCUUUCACCGGGGACGAUAAUGACGGUACCCGGAGAAGAAGCCCCGGCUAACUUCGUG